UAUGUAAUUGUGUAAAUCCUAAGUAGAGAUAAAAUAGGAAUCCUUUGGGAUCUAGAAGAUCUUCCCUAAUAUACUUUGUAUUACUUGGAGAGCAAGUUUCUCUCCUCCUAAUUACUAUAAAUAAAGGCACAAGGACUGGGGAAUUAACACACAAUUCCUCAAGUCUAUUCUCCAAUCUCUCUUCUUCUCUUUGCCGCACAUCUCUGUAAAAUAUAGGCCACAACAACAAUUAGUAUAUUUAUAUUUAUGGCUAAAUUUUAUCAUAUAUUUUUAUUGUUAGUUUGUACCUAUUUUUAAUUUGCAAAUAUUUUUUAAUUUGUACCAAUUUUCUUUUCAUUUUUAAUUUGUACCCAUAUAUUAGUUUCUUUUUGUGCCCAUAUUUUUUAAAGUUUUAUUUGUGUUUGUACCCAUAUGUAUACCGUCACGUGACAUUGUAUAUUUAAUCAAUGAUAGAAAAAUUACAUAUAGUAUAUUUAUGUUUUAUGCCUAAACUUUGUAUCAUAUAUUUAUAUUUUUAGUUUGUACCCACUUUUAAUUUGCAACAUUUUUUUUUAAUUUGUAGUAUUUUCUUUUUAGUUUUAUUUUGUACUCAUGUAUUAAUUUCUUUUAGCGCCUAUAUUUUUUAAAAUUCAUUUGACUAAGGAAAGCAGGAAGAGUUUUGAACCAAAGACAUUGUGUA
Molecule: long non-coding RNA, 679 nt
Filed under: Malus domestica (apple)
Lineage: Eukaryota; Viridiplantae; Streptophyta; Magnoliopsida; Rosales; Rosaceae
Description: long non-coding RNA (MDOM_LNC014786)
Source: RNAcentral